This 486-nucleotide ribosomal RNA is filed under the name uncultured bacterium. RNAcentral describes it as "partial 16S ribosomal RNA". It matches the Rfam family "Bacterial small subunit ribosomal RNA", at positions 30 to 507 of the family's 1533-position model. The record is from RNAcentral.
AUUGAACGCUGGCGGCAUGCCUUACACAUGCAAGUCGAACGGCAGCACGGGUGCUUGCACCUGGUGGCGAGUGGCGAACGGGUGAGUAAUACAUCGGAACAUGUCCUGUAGUGGGGGAUAGCCCUGCGAAAGCCGGAUUAAUACCGCAUACGAUCCACGGAUGAAAGCGGGGGACCUUCGGGCCUCGCGCUAUAGGGGUGGCCGAUGGCUGAUUAGCUAGUUGGUGGGGUAAAGGCCUACCAAGGCGAUGAUCAGUAGCUGGUCUGAGAGGACGACCAGCCACACUGGGACUGAGACACGGCCCAGACUCCUACGGGAGGCAGCAGUGGGGAAUUUUGGACAAUGGGCGAAAGCCUGAUCCAGCAAUGCCGCGUGUGUGAAGAAGGCCUUCGGGUUGUAAAGCACUUUUGUCCGGAAAGAAAUCCUUGACUCUAAUACAGUCGGGGGAUGACGGUACCGGAAGAAUAAGCACCGGCUAACUACGUG